This 506-nucleotide ribosomal RNA is filed under the name uncultured bacterium. RNAcentral describes it as "partial 16S ribosomal RNA". It matches the Rfam family "Bacterial small subunit ribosomal RNA", at positions 29 to 523 of the family's 1533-position model. The record is from RNAcentral.
AGUGAACGCUGGCGGUAGGCCUAACACAUGCAAGUCGAACGGCAGCACAGGAGAGCUUGCUCUCUGGGCGGCGAGUGGCGGACGGGUGAGGAAUACAUCGGAAUCUACUCUGUCGUGGGGGAUAACGUAGGGAAACUUACGCUAAUACCGCAUACGACCUACGGGUGAAAGCAGGGGACCUUCGGGCCUUGCGCGAUUGAAUGAGCCGAUGUCGGAUUAGCUAGUUGGCGGGGUAAAGGCCCACCAAGGCGACGAUCCGUAGCUGGUCUGAGAGGAGGAUCAGCCACACUGGAACUGAGACACGGUCCAGACUCCUACGGGAGGCAGCAGUGGGGAAUAUUGGACGAUGGGCGCAAGCCUGAUCCAGCCAUACCGCGUGGGUGAAGAAGGCCUUCGGGUUGUAAAGCCCUUUUGUUGGGAAAGAAAUCCAGCUGGCUAAUACCCGGUUGGGAUGACGGUACCCAAAGAAUAAGCACCGGCUAACUUCGUGCCAGCAGCCGCCGUAA